This is a non-coding RNA of Pelobates cultripes (western spadefoot toad), 240 nucleotides long. The record is from the annotation of a GenBank genome assembly. Lineage: Eukaryota; Metazoa; Chordata; Amphibia; Anura; Pelobatidae.
CUUUAUUGCAGCCAUUCCAACUUUUAAAAUAGCCAAACUGUGGUAUGUGCUCUAGACAGCAAUUAGCGGCUGGCCCAUAUAGCUGUGACGUGAUAAAAAGAGGGCAUUUAACAGGUUACUUCAAACAUCAUAACCAUUACCGCCUGUUACCGUGGAUCUGUUCUUUGUGAGAGUCCGCUCUUCUUCUGAGCCAUAAUUCCUUUUUUGCUGGGUAUGCCUGUAGCUGCUGUGAUUUUUGCC